This 292-nucleotide unclassified non-coding RNA is filed under the name fungal sp. RNAcentral describes it as "partial internal transcribed spacer region". The stretch from base 1 to 47 matches the Rfam family "Eukaryotic small subunit ribosomal RNA", at positions 1785 to 1831 of the family's 1831-position model. The record is from RNAcentral. Lineage: Eukaryota; Fungi.
GAAGUCGUAACAAGGUAUCCGUAGGUGAACCUGCGGAUGGAUCAUUAACACUCAUCCAAAACAACAACAACAAACCUUGACGCGAAAUGUUCAAGUCUUUUCGACCUGAACUUUAAACUAUAGCAUACUUUGUUGCUACUGUACAUUUAUUCUUCGGAAUUGUACUGAACCAAUGCAUUUUGGUCGCGAGGAGAAGGACGAGAGAGGUCUUCCUCUCUUCUCAUUCUCUGCUUCCAAAUCAUUAAAAAACAAAACUUUUAUACAACUUUUGACGAUGGAUAUCUUGGCUCUG